GCUCGAGUGGCGAACGGGUGAGUAUUACGUGAGUAACCUGCCCUCAACUGUGGGAUAAGCCUGGGAAACUGGGUCUAAUACUGCAUAUUCUUCUUUCACMRCAUGGUGGGGGUUGGAAAGUUUUUUCGGUUGGGGAUGGGCUCGCGGCCUAUCAGCUUGUUGGUGGGGUGAUGGCCUACCAAGGCGGUGACGGGUAGCCGGCCUGAGAGGGUGGUCGGCCACAUUGGGACUGAGAUACGGCCCAGACUCCUACGGGAGGCAGCAGUGGGGGAUAUUGCACAAUGGGCGCAAGCCUGAUGCAGCGACGCCGCGUGAGGGAUGAAGGCUUUCGGGUUGUAAACCUCUUUCGGUACAGAACAAGGCACGUUUUUUGCGUGUGGAGGGUAUGUGCAGAAGAAGCGCCGGCUAACUACGUGCCAGCAGCCGCGGUAAUACGUAGGGCGCGAGCGUUGUCCGGAAUUAUUGGGCGUAAAGGGCUCGUAGGCGGCUUGUUGCGCCUGCUGUGAAAACGCGGGGCUUAACUCCGCGCGUGCAGUGGGUACGGGCAGGCUUGAGUGUGGUAGGGGUGACUGGAAUUCCAGGUGUAGCGGUGGAAUGCGCAGAUAUCUGGAGGAACACCGAUGGCGAAGGCAGGUCACUGGGCCAUUACUGACGCUGAGGAGCGAAAGCGUGGGUAGCGAACAGGAUUAGAUACCCUGGUAGUCCACGCUGUAAACGUUGGGAACUAGGUGUGGGGCCCUUUUCCGGGGUUCUGCGCCGUAGCUAACGCAUUAAGUUCCCCGCCUGGGGAGUACGGCCGCAAGGCUAAAACUCAAAGGAAUUGACGGGGGCCCGCACAAGCGGCGGAGCAUGCGGAUUAAUUCGAUGCAACGCGAAGAACCUUACCAAGGCUUGACAUACACCGGGAGCAUGCAGAGAUGUGUGUGCCUUUUUGGCUGGUGUACAGGUGGUGCAUGGUUGUCGUCAGCUCGUGUCGUGAGAUGUUGGGUUAAGUCCCGCAACGAGCGCAACCCUUGUCUCGUGUUGCCAGCGCGUUAUGGUGGGGACUCACGAGAGACUGCCGGGGUUAACUCGGAGGAAGGUGGGGAUGACGUCAAAUCAUCAUGCCCCUUAUGUCUUGGGCUUCACGCAUGCUACAAUGGCCGGUACAGUGGGUUGCGAUACUGUGAGGUGGAGCGAAUCUCUGAAAGCCGGUCUCAGUUCGGAUCGGGGUCAUGCAACU
This 1222-nucleotide ribosomal RNA is filed under the name Actinobaculum massiliense. RNAcentral's name for it is "bacterial SSU rRNA". It matches the Rfam family "Bacterial small subunit ribosomal RNA", at positions 89 to 1312 of the family's 1533-position model. Lineage: Bacteria; Bacillati; Actinomycetota; Actinomycetes; Actinomycetales; Actinomycetaceae. The record is from RNAcentral.